GAUGAACGCUGGCGGCGUGCCUAAUACAUGCAAGUCGAGCGAACAGACGAGGAGCUUGCUCCUCUGACGUUAGCGGCGGACGGGUGAGUAACACGUGGAUAACCUACCUAUAAGACUGGGAUAACUUCGGGAAUCCGGAGCUAAUACCGGAUAAUAUAUUGAACCGCAUGGUUCAAUAGUGAAAGACGGUUUUGCUGUCACUUAUAGAUGGAUCCGCGCCGCAUUAGCUAGUUGGUAAGGUAACGGCUUACCAAGGCAACGAUGCGUAGCCGACCUGAGAGGGUGAUCGGCCACACUGGAACUGAGACACGGUCCAGACUCCUACGGGAGGCAGCAGUAGGGAAUCUUCCGCAAAGGGCGAAAGCCUGACGGAGCAACGCCGCGUGAGUGAUGAAGGUCUUCGGAUCGUAAAACUCUGUUAUUAGGGAAGAACAAAUGUGUAAGUAACUAUGCACGUCUUGACGGUACCUAAUCAGAAAGCCACGGCUAACUACGUG
This 497-nucleotide ribosomal RNA is filed under the name uncultured bacterium. RNAcentral describes it as "partial 16S ribosomal RNA". It matches the Rfam family "Bacterial small subunit ribosomal RNA", at positions 28 to 507 of the family's 1533-position model. The record is from RNAcentral.